CCAGAGAACUUAGCAGAGAUGCUUUUGGUGCCUUCGGGAACUCUGAGACAGGUGCUGCAUGGCUGUCGUCAGCUCGUGUUGUGAAAUGUUGGGUUAAGUCCCGCAACGAGCGCAACCCUUAUCCUUUGUUGCCAGCGGUCCGGCCGGGAACUCAAAGGAGACUGCCAGUGAUAAACUGGAGGAAGGUGGGGAUGACGUCAAGUCAUCAUGGCCCUUACGAGUAGGGCUACACACGUGCUACAAUGGCGCAUACAAAGAGAAGCGACCUCGCGAGAGCAAGCGGACCUCAUAAAGUGCGUCGUAGUCCGGAUUGGAGUCUGCAACUCGACUCCAUGAAGUCGGAAUCGCUAGUAAUCGUAGAUCAGAAUGCUACGGUGAAUACGUUCCCGGGCCUUGUACACACCGCCCGUCACACCAUGGGAGUGGGUUGCAAAAGAAGUAGGUAGCUUAACCUUCGGGAGGGCGCUUACCACUUUGUGAUUCAUGACUGGGGUGAAGUCGUAACAAGGUAAGCGUACGUGU
RNAcentral lists this ribosomal RNA (522 nucleotides) under uncultured bacterium. RNAcentral describes it as "bacterial SSU rRNA". It matches the Rfam family "Bacterial small subunit ribosomal RNA", at positions 988 to 1509 of the family's 1533-position model. The record is from RNAcentral.